GCAUAAUAAAUGUUGAGGCUUGGAGGCAUGGAGAUUAAGAAAACCGUUGAAAGCCAAACCUGACAACACAACAUAGGAGCUGCUAAUUUGAGGUUCUACCUAUUCAAAAGCAAAUACUUACAAAGUUUGUGUGCAGCUUGGUGUAUUAUGGCCUAACUCUGAGUGCGGGUGAUCUAGGUGGAAGUAUUUAUGCCAACCUGGCCCUGUCUGGCCUCAUAGAGAUUCCAUCUUACCCUCUCUGUAUCUACUUGAUUAACCAAAAAUGGUUUGGUCGGAAGCGAACAUUAUCAGCAUUUCUGUGCCUAGGAGGACUGGCUUGUCUUAUUGUAAUGUUUCUUCCAGAAAAGAAAGGUAUGCCUUUCAAAUUUCUACAAGGGUUUUGAACAGUACUUUUAUUACAAUGAAUCAUAAUAUAGUGGAGAGAUGACCAUAUGGCAUGCUUCAUUUCUGUGAUUGCAUAUUGUUUAGCAAUUGUGUGGGAUAUAAUGGG
RNAcentral lists this small RNA (490 nucleotides) under Pan troglodytes (chimpanzee). Its description in RNAcentral is "processed transcript". Lineage: Eukaryota; Metazoa; Chordata; Mammalia; Primates; Hominidae. The record is from RNAcentral.